Molecule: ribosomal RNA, 251 nt
Filed under: uncultured prokaryote
Description: partial 16S rRNA
Rfam family: Bacterial small subunit ribosomal RNA
Source: RNAcentral
ACGGAGGAUCCGAGCGUUAUCCGGAUUUAUUGGGUUUAAAGGGUGCGUAGGUGGUUUAAUAAGUCAGCGGUGAAAGUUUGCAGCUUAACUGUAAAAAUGCCGUUGAAACUGUUAGACUUGAGUGUAAAUGAGGUAGGCGGAAUGCGUGGUGGAGCGGUGAAAUGCCUAGAUAUCUCACCGAACUAUGAUUGCGAAGGCAGCUUACCGAGCUGCAACUGAGGCCGAAACCCUGAUGCGUGGGGAGCAAGCAG